GGCCCUCUGGCGCAACGGUAGCGCGUUCGACUCCAGUCCUUAGGAUUCCAUCGAAAGGUUAUCUGUUCAAAUCAGGUGGGGGUCA
Molecule: transfer RNA, 85 nt
Filed under: Colletotrichum orchidophilum
Lineage: Eukaryota; Fungi; Ascomycota; Sordariomycetes; Glomerellales; Glomerellaceae
Rfam family: tRNA
About the family: Transfer RNA (tRNA) molecules are approximately 80 nucleotides in length. Their secondary structure includes four short double-helical elements and three loops (D, anti-codon, and T loops).
Source: Rfam by way of RNAcentral